GACGAACGCUGGCGGCGUGCUUAACACAUGCAAGUCGAACGGGCCCGCCCCUGUUUUUGGGGGUGGGUUGAGUGGCGAACGGGUGAGUAUCACGUGAGUAACCUGCCCCCUGCUCCUGGAUAACUGCUUGAAAGGGCGGCUAAUACGGGGUGUGCCGGCUGGUCCGCAUGGGCCUGGUCGGGAUAGUUUCAUCUUCGGGUGUUUUGGUGGGGGAUGGGCUCGCGGCCUAUCAGCUUGUUGGUGGGGUGAUGGCCCACCAAGGCGGUGACGGGUAGCCGGCCUGAGAGGGUGGGCGGCCACACUGGGACUGAGACACGGCCCAGACUCCUGCGGGAGGCAGCAGUGGGGGGUAUUGCACAAUGGGCGGAAGCCUGAUGCAGCGACGUCGCGUGAGGGAUGGAGGCCUUCGGGUUGUGAACCUCUUUCUCCGGUGGUGAAGGCCCUGUCCGUUGCGGCGGGGUUGACGGUAGCCGGGUAUGAAGCGCCGGCUAACUACGUG
This 499-nucleotide ribosomal RNA is filed under the name uncultured bacterium. Its description in RNAcentral is "partial 16S ribosomal RNA". It matches the Rfam family "Bacterial small subunit ribosomal RNA", at positions 28 to 507 of the family's 1533-position model. The record is from RNAcentral.